UGCAAUUAAUUCUGUAUAUUGUUUGUGUUUUGAAAGACACAAAAACUAACAUAUUUAGCAUUUAUUUUCGAUUUGUAAUCCCUUGAGACCCGCGUAAUAAUAUCAAAAUCACACAUUACGCUGAAGACGGGUUCACAAAAAAGAAUCUCGAAUGGUCAACAAUAAUACAUCGCUCAAGGUGAAUAAUUAUCUAUUUUAACAUAAAAACUAAUUUCAACAACAAAAACAAAAUAACAAAACAUUGUCAAAUUUGAAACAGAAGUGUACGAGUUGUCCUACGCUUCAGACUUGACAUUCACUAAACAUGCAUGCUGAAAUUGACAUGGUUGAUUUUGUAACACAAUCA
This 346-nucleotide long non-coding RNA is filed under the name Mytilus galloprovincialis (Mediterranean mussel). Lineage: Eukaryota; Metazoa; Mollusca; Bivalvia; Mytilida; Mytilidae. The record is from RNAcentral.